UUAAGUUAAUAAGGGCGCACGGUGGAUGCCUUGGCACUAGGAGCCGACGAAGGACGUGACAAACGACGAUAUGCCUUGGGUAGCUGUAAGUAAGCGAUGAUCCAGGGAUUUCCGAAUGGGGGAACCCAACAGGUAGUACCUGUUACCCAUAUCUGUUAAGGAUGUGAGGAGGAAGACGCAGUGAACUGAAACAUCUAAGUAGCUGCAGGAAGAGAAAGCAAAAGCGAUUGCCUUAGUAGCGGCGAGCGAAACGGCAGAAGGGCAAACCGAAGAGUUUACUCUUCGGGGUUGUAGGACUGCAAUGUGGACUCAAAGAUUAUAGAAGAAUGAUUUGGGAAGAUCAGCCAAAGAGAGUAAUAGCCUCGUAUUUAAAAUAGUCUUUGUACCUAGCAGUAUCCUGAGUACGGCGGGACACGUGAAAUCCCGUCGGAAUCUGGGAGGACCAUCUCCCAACCCUAAAUACUCCCUAGUGACCGAUAGUGAACCAGUACCGUGAGGGAAAGGUGAAAAGCACCCCGGGAGGGGAGUGAAAUAGAACCUGAAACCGUGUGCCUACAACAAGUUCGAGCCCGUUAAUGGGUGAGAGCGUGCCUUUUGUAGAAUGAACCGGCGAGUUACGUUAUGAUGCGAGGUUAAGUUGAAGAGACGGAGCCGUAGGGAAACCGAGUCUGAAUAGGGCGCCUUAGUAUCAUGACGUAGACCCGAAACCAUGUGACCUACCCAUGAGCAGGUUGAAGGUGCGGUAAGACGCACUGGAGGACCGAACCAGGGCACGUUGAAAAGUGCUUGGAUGACUUGUGGGUAGCGGAGAAAUUCCAAACGAACUUGGAGAUAGCUGGUUCUCUCCGAAAUAGCUUUAGGGCUAGCGUCGACAUUAGAGAUUCUUGGAGGUAGAGCACUGUUUGGGUGAGGGGUCCAUCCCGGAUUACCAAUCUCAGAUAAACUCCGAAUGCCAAUGAAUUAUGGUCGGCAGUCAGACUGCGAGUGCUAAGAUCCGUAGUCGAAAGGGAAACAGCCCAGACCACCAGCUAAGGUCCCAAAAUAAUUGUUAAGUGGAAAAGGAUGUGGGGUUGCACAGACAACUAGGAUGUUAGCUUAGAAGCAGCUAUUCAUUCAAAGAGUGCGUAAUAGCUCACUAGUCGAGUGACCCUGCGCCGAAAAUGUACCGGGGCUAAAACAAUUUACCGAAGCUGUGGAUACCUUUAUAGGUAUGGUAGGAGAGCGUUCUAUGUGUGAUGAAGGUAUACCGUGAGGAGUGCUGGAACGCAUAGAAGUGAGAAUGCCGGUAUGAGUAGCGAAAGACAGGUGAGAAUCCUGUCCACCGUAAGACUAAGGUUUCCAGGGGAAGGCUCGUCCGCCCUGGGUUAGUCGGGACCUAAGGAGAGACCGAAAGGUGUAUCCGAUGGACAACAGGUUGAUAUUCCUGUACUAGAGUAUGUAGUGAUGGAGGGACGCAGUAGGCUAACUAAAGCAGACGAUUGGAAGAGUCUGUCUAAGCAGUGAGGUGUGAAUUGAGUCAAAUGCUUAAUUCUAUAACAUUGAGCUGUGAUGGGGAGCGAAGUUUAGUAGCGAAGUUAGUGACGUCACACUGCCAAGAAAAGCUUCUAGCGUUUAAACAUACUCUACCCGUACCGCAAACCGACACAGGUAGUCGAGGCGAGUAGCCUCAGGUGAGCGAGAGAACUCUCGUUAAGGAACUCGGCAAAAUGACCCCGUAACUUCGGGAGAAGGGGUGCUGACUUAAAGUCAGCCGCAGUGAAUAGGCCCAAGCAACUGUUUAUCAAAAACACAGCUCUCUGCUAAAUCGUAAGAUGAUGUAUAGGGGGUGACGCCUGCCCGGUGCUGGAAGGUUAAGAGGAGUGCUUAGCGUAAGCGAAGGUAUGAAUUGAAGCCCCAGUAAACGGCGGCCGUAACUAUAACGGUCCUAAGGUAGCGAAAUUCCUUGUCGGGUAAGUUCCGACCCGCACGAAAGGCGUAAUGAUUUGGGCACUGUCUCAACGAGAGACUCGGUGAAAUUUUAGUACCUGUGAAGAUGCAGGUUACCCGCGACAGGACGGAAAGACCCCAUGGAGCUUUACUGCAGUUUGAUAUUGAGUGUCUGUACCACAUGUACAGGAUAGGUAGGAGUCUAAGAGAUCGGGACGCCAGUUUCGAAGGAGACGCUGUUGGGAUACUACCCUUGUGUUAUGGCCACUCUAACCCAGAUAGGUGAUCCCUAUCGGAGACAGUGUCUGACGGGCAGUUUGACUGGGGCGGUCGCCUCCUAAAAGGUAACGGAGGCGCCCAAAGGUUCCCUCAGAAUGGUUGGAAAUCAUUCGCAGAGUGUAAAGGUAUAAGGGAGCUUGACUGCGAGAGCUACAACUCGAGCAGGGACGAAAGUCGGGCUUAGUGAUCCGGUGGUUCCGUAUGGAAGGGCCAUCGCUCAACGGAUAAAAGCUACCCUGGGGAUAACAGGCUUAUCUCCCCCAAGAGUUCACAUCGACGGGGAGGUUUGGCACCUCGAUGUCGGCUCGUCGCAUCCUGGGGCUGUAGUCGGUCCCAAGGGUUGGGCUGUUCGCCCAUUAAAGCGGCACGCGAGCUGGGUUCAGAACGUCGUGAGACAGUUCGGUCCCUAUCCGUCGCGGGCGUAGGAAAUUUGAGAGGAUCUGCUCCUAGUACGAGAGGACCAGAGUGGACUUACCGCUGGUGUACCAGUUGUCUUGCCAAAGGCAUCGCUGGGUAGCUAUGUAGGGAAGGGAUAAACGCUGAAAGCAUCUAAGUGUGAAACCCACCUCAAGAUGAGAUUUCCCAUGAUUAUAUAUCAGUAAGAGCCCUGAGAGAUGAUCAGGUAGAUAGGUUAGAAGUGGAAGUGUGGCGACACAUGUAGCGGACUAAUACUAAUAGCUCGAGGACUUAUCCAA
RNAcentral lists this ribosomal RNA (2900 nucleotides) under Streptococcus pneumoniae. Its description in RNAcentral is "bacterial LSU rRNA". It matches the Rfam family "Bacterial large subunit ribosomal RNA". The record is from RNAcentral. Lineage: Bacteria; Bacillati; Bacillota; Bacilli; Lactobacillales; Streptococcaceae.